CGUCAGUCGAGGACUUUACGUGCACUUUAUCUUAUGUAAUGGGUGCAGUCAGUCAGGCUUAUUUCCAUUUUCCCGUGUAAACUCUAUCCGUGCAGUAUUUGGUUUAUUGAUCUAACUAACGACGGCCGGAAUCUGAGCUGGAUAUGGAGCUGAAUCCGUUUCGCCCCAUCAUUACAAUCCUGAUGGAGUUGUUCAAGAUCAUCCUGCUUCUGGUAUGGCACCCCAUGAGGGGAAUACUAGAGGUGUUCGUGCCGGCCCUCAAGAGGACAAAACGGUCAUAAACAAAAUUCGACUGUGAAUAAUUUCACAUGGUGGUUUACAGCUGAUAAACCACCAUAUUACUUUACAUUACAAGUCCCAAACAUACUUGUACGGAGCUGAAACAUUUCUAGCAGUCAAAUGGCCAUUGGAAGUGUAGUCGGCAAAGAGAACAAGUUAAAUUUCCAUUGAACAACGGUCUGGUCUCUUCCUUAAGCAGUGUACAUAACUACGAAUUUGUACAAAGUUUAUUUGUGAAGUACAGUAUGCAUGUACAUGACUUUAUGGUUCCCAUCUCUAUAUGGGUAGAUGGUUUGGAGUAAAUUUCGAUACGGAGAAGCAACAUGAAAUUGAAAGUUAACACAUCCAUGCCCGUAGCCAUUAGCUCUAUAUCAAUAAUUUAAGAAAUUAAAAAUUAAAGACGGAAAAAGAAUCAUUCAUGAAGGAGGGUUUUACGAAGGAGUCACGAGGACUUGACAGAGGCGAAUUAGAAUUGACGUUUCGGUGGUAAUGGUAACAUUCUAUCAGCCAUUUAAAGGCUUGUUGCCAUGUUCACGCUGUAGAAUUUGAAGAUUUUGCAACCAUUAAAACUUCAACAGUUU
Long non-coding RNA from Ylistrum balloti, 860 nucleotides. RefSeq lists it as uncharacterized. The record is from RefSeq and is a predicted model, not a curated record. NCBI's taxonomy places the organism in Eukaryota, Metazoa, Mollusca, Bivalvia, Pectinida, Pectinidae. The transcript has 2 exons.